This 863-nucleotide ribosomal RNA is filed under the name uncultured Gram-positive bacterium. RNAcentral's name for it is "bacterial SSU rRNA". It matches the Rfam family "Bacterial small subunit ribosomal RNA", at positions 527 to 1400 of the family's 1533-position model. The record is from RNAcentral.
GUAGGGAGCGAGCGUUACCCGGAAUUACUGGGCGUAAAGUGCGCGUAGGCGGCUUGGUAAGUCUUUUGUGAAAGCUCCCGGCUUAACUGGGAGAGUGCAGAGGAAACUAUCUGGCUAGAGGGCAGCAGAGGAAAGCGGAAUUCUCGGUGUAGCGGUGAAAUGCGUAGAUAUCGAGAGGAACACCAGUGGCGAAGGCGGCUUUCUGGGCUGUACCUGACGCUGAGGCGCGAGAGCGUGGGGAGCAAACAGGAUUAGAUACCCUGGUAGUCCUAGCUGUAAACGAUGGAUACUAGAUGUAGGAACUGGAUUGACGGUUUCUGUAUCGUAGCUAACGCGUUAAGUAUCCCGCCUGGGGAGUACGGUCGCAAGACUAAAACUCAAAGGAAUUGACGGGACCCGCACAAGCGGCGGAGCAUGCGGCUUAAUUCGAUGAUACCCGUAGAACCUUACCUGGACUUGACAUAUAGGGAAAAACUGGAGAAAUUCAGUGUGCGUAAGCGCCCUAUACAGGUGGUGCAUGGCUGUCGUCAGUUCGUGUCGUGAGAUGUUGGGUUAAGUCCCGCAACGAGCGCAACCCUUGUUUUUAGUUGCCCUUAGGAACUCUAAAAAGACUGCCGGUUAUAAACCGGAGGAAGGCGGGGAUGACGUCAAGUCAGCAUGCCCCUUACACCCUGGGCUACACACGUGCUACAAUGGACGAGACAAUGAGUUGCGAAUCUGUGAAGACCUGCUAAUCUAUAGACUCGUUCUAAGUUCGGAUUGUAGGCUGCAACUCGCCUACAUGAAGUUGGAAUCGCUAGUAAUCGCUGGUCAGCCAUACAGCGGUGAAUCCGUUCCCGGGCCUUGCACACACCGCCCGUUCU